AUGCGCCACCACCAUCUCCUCCGCUGCCGCGCGAUGCCUAUCCUGCCGUCGCCGCCGAGGACGCUGCGGGUUUCGGGGAGCCUUGUGCACCACCGCCUCAUCCGAUGCCGUGGGUUGCCUAUCCCGCCGAGGACGCCGGGGGUCUCGGGCGGGCGCCUCUUCUCCUCCCUGCCGCUCCCGCCGCCUCUCCAGUCCCCAAGAGAGGUGCAUGUUUGGUAUCUUUGCCCCGAUGAGCUGAAUAAUCAGUCCCAGCUGAAUAUGUAUGAAGAACUCCUGUCUCCUUCUGAAAGAAAGUAUGCUGACUCUAUGAAAGCAACAUUGUUGCGGAAAGAUGUUGUUUUGUCCCGUGCAUUGUUGCGCACCACCCUCUCAAGAUAUACAGAUUGUAAAAUUGAUCCGAGGUCAUUUGAGUUUAAGAAGAACAAAUUUGGCAAACCUGAGGUAUUGUGGCCACUGGAUGAUAGCACUGCGGAGCAACCUUUGCAUUUCAAUAUUUCACACACAACUUCUUUGAUUGCCUGUGGCAUUGCCAUUAAUGCUCAUAUUGGCAUUGAUGUUGAAGAGAAGAAGCGGAAUACAACCAAGAAUAUUUUAUCUCUUGCUCGCCGUUACUUCACCCCUUCUGAAGUUGAUAGUCUAGCUGAGAUUUCUGAUUCAGAUGCUCAGCGGAAGGAAUUCCUGAAACUAUGGACUCUUAAAGAAGCAUAUGUAAAAGCUCUUGGAAUGGGUUUCUCAGGUGCUCCAUUCAGUACGUUUUCUAUAAUGCUGGAAACAAGCAAGGGAAUUAGGAUUUCUAAGACAUCGAAUACUUCCAGGCCUGGUUGUGACCAUCUGUCUGAGAACUGGCUGUUUACACUAGCGGAGCUAAAUAGUUCUCACUACAUGUCAGUUUGUAUAGAGGACAGCUCCAGAAGUCAAGGUCCUGAAGACAGUCCAGCAUCAGUAGGAUUGAAAGUAUGGAAGACCGUGCCAUUUGUUGAAGAUACACUCGUCUCUGGAACAGAAGCUGUAAAACUUAUUGCCUGA
Molecule: ribosomal RNA, 1026 nt
Filed under: Triticum aestivum (bread wheat)
Lineage: Eukaryota; Viridiplantae; Streptophyta; Magnoliopsida; Poales; Poaceae
Description: partial small subunit ribosomal RNA
Source: RNAcentral